AGAGCGAACGCUGGCGGCAGGCCUAAUACAUGCAAGUCGAACGGAUCCUUCGGGAUUAGUGGCGGACGGGUGAGUAACACGUGGGAACGUACCCUUUGGUUCGGAACAACUCAGGGAAACUUGAGCUAAUACCGAAUGUGCCCUUCGGGGAAAAGAUUUAUCGCCAUUGGAGCGGCCCGCGUCUGAUUAGCUAGUUGGUAGGGUAAAGGCCUACCAAGGCUACGAUCAGUAGCUGGUCUGAGAGGAUGAUCAGCCACACUGGGACUGAGACACGGCCCAGACUCCUACGGGAGGCAGCAGUAGGGAAUCUUGCGCAAUGGGCGAAAGCCUGACGCAGCCAUGCCGCGUGAAUGAUGAAGGUCUUAGGAUUGUAAAAUUCUUUCACCGGGGAAGAUAAUGACGGUACCCGGAGAAGAAGCCCCGGCUAACUUCGUGCCAGCAGCCGC
RNAcentral lists this ribosomal RNA (446 nucleotides) under uncultured bacterium. RNAcentral describes it as "SSU rRNA". It matches the Rfam family "Bacterial small subunit ribosomal RNA", at positions 26 to 518 of the family's 1533-position model. The record is from RNAcentral.